GUUAAAUGUAUCUGACAUUCAUGUGUUCGUUGUCUCCUUGGUUCUUGAAUAAACUCCUUUGAAGUAUUCUCCAGUGUCUCCUCAUCCCUUCCUGCCUGAGAGUCCGUGACAGAACAGCAGACUGAAAAUGAUGGAGGAACAAGCCAUGUUUAUCGCCAUGGCUCAGUCGAGCCCUGAUCUGGUCAUUCGUGUGUUCGCCCUCACCAGCUCCCUCGAGGGGGGAAAUGCUUGUGACGCUGAUUAGCCCUCAACUGGCAGUUCCCCAGCCCAUUCAGCCGAACAUUAAUAUGGCAAGCCCAUUGAACAUUAAUGUGGUGUGUCCCAUUGUGUCAUGUGUUUUAAAAGUGUUCCCUGUGUUGAGUUCUCGGUCUGCUGUUAAAUAUCAUCUCUGAUGCGCCUGUGUUCGUUGUCUCCUUGGUUUUUGAAUAAACUCCUUCA
Long non-coding RNA from Carassius gibelio (silver crucian carp), 438 nucleotides. RefSeq lists it as uncharacterized. The record is from RefSeq and is a predicted model, not a curated record. The transcript is spliced from 3 exons. Lineage: Eukaryota; Metazoa; Chordata; Actinopteri; Cypriniformes; Cyprinidae.